Molecule: ribosomal RNA, 492 nt
Filed under: uncultured bacterium
Lineage: Bacteria
Description: partial 16S ribosomal RNA
Rfam family: Bacterial small subunit ribosomal RNA
Source: RNAcentral
AGUGAACGCUGGCGGUAGGCCUAACACAUGCAAGUCGAACGGCAGCACAGUAAGAGCUUGCUCUUACGGGUGGCGAGUGGCGGACGGGUGAGGAAUACAUCGGAAUCUACUUUUUCGUGGGGGAUAACGUAGGGAAACUUACGCUAAUACCGCAUACGACCUACGGGUGAAAGCAGGGGAUCUUCGGACCUUGCGCGAAUGAAUGAGCCGAUGUCGGAUUAGCUAGUUGGCGGGGUAAAGGCCCACCAAGGCGACGAUCCGUAGCUGGUCUGAGAGGAUGAUCAGCCACACUGGAACUGAGACACGGUCCAGACUCCUACGGGAGGCAGCAGUGGGGAAUAUUGGGCAAUGGGCGCAAGCCUGAUCCAGCCAUACCGCGUGGGUGAAGAAGGCCUUCGGGUUGUAAAGCCCUUUUGUUGGGAAAGAAAAGCAGCAGGUUAAUACCCCGCUGUUCUGACGGUACCCAAUGAAUAAGCACCGGCUAACUUCGUG